AUUACAUUGAUGAUUCUGUUAUUUAGGGAAAGGUCUUUUGAUUUUGGAUGGACAGAAGUGGUUUCAGCACCGUCGCCUGCUUACCCCUGGCUUUCAUUAUGAUGUACUUAAACCAUACACUAAACUGAUGUCUGAUUCUACGGUAGUCAUGCUGGUAAGUGGUUGGCGUGGCAAUAGAUCUGUGUACAGCAAGUAAAAAAAAACAUAAAAAACUC
Pelobates cultripes (western spadefoot toad) is the source of this 215-nucleotide non-coding RNA. Lineage: Eukaryota; Metazoa; Chordata; Amphibia; Anura; Pelobatidae. The record is from the annotation of a GenBank genome assembly.